CCUACGGGCGGCAGCAGUGAGGAAUAUUGGUCAAUGGGCGCGAGCCUGAACCAGCCACGUAGCGUGAAGGAUGACUGCCCUACGGGUUGUAAACUUCUUUUAUAAAGGAGUAAAGUGAGGCACGUGUGCCUUUUUGUAUGUACUUUUUGAAUAAGGAUCGGCUAACUCCGUGCCAGCAGCCGCGGUAACUCGGAAGAGCCGAGCGUUAUCCGGAUUUGUUGGGUUUAAAGGGAGCGUAGAUGGGUUGUUAAGUCAGGGGUGAAAGUUUGCGGCUCAACCGUAAAAUUGCAAUUGAUACUGGCAGCCUUGAGUACAGUUGAGGUAGGCGGAAUUCGUGGUGUAGCGGUGAAAUGCUUAGAUAUCACGAAGAACUCCGAUUGCGAAGGCAGCUUACUAAACUGCCACUGACAUUGAUGCUCGAAAGUGUGGGUAUCAAACAGGAUUAGAUACCCCAGUAGUC
RNAcentral lists this ribosomal RNA (460 nucleotides) under uncultured bacterium. RNAcentral's name for it is "partial 16S ribosomal RNA". It matches the Rfam family "Bacterial small subunit ribosomal RNA", at positions 338 to 795 of the family's 1533-position model. The record is from RNAcentral.